This 253-nucleotide ribosomal RNA is filed under the name uncultured bacterium. RNAcentral's name for it is "partial 16S ribosomal RNA". It matches the Rfam family "Bacterial small subunit ribosomal RNA", at positions 524 to 776 of the family's 1533-position model. The record is from RNAcentral.
UACGAAGGGUGCAAGCGUUACUCGGAAUUACUGGGCGUAAAGCGUGCGUAGGUGGUUUGUUAAGUCUGUUGUGAAAGCCCCGGGCUCAACCUGGGAAUGGCAAUGGAUACUGGCAAGCUAGAGUGCGGUAGAGGGUAGUGGAAUUCCCGGUGUAGCGGUGAAAUGCGUAGAUAUCGUAAGGAAGACCAGUGGCGAAGGCGAGUCUCUGGACAGUUACUGACACUGAGGCACGAAGGCCAGGGGAGCAAACGGG